CCUACGGGUGGCUGCAGUGAGGAAUAUUGGUCAAUGGACGAGAGUCUGAACCAGCCAAGUAGCGUGCAGGAUGACUGCCCUAUGGGUUGUAAACUUCUUUUAUAUGGGAAUAAAAUGUUCCACGUGUGGGAUUUUGUAUGUACGAUAUGAAUAAGGAUCGGCUAACUCCGUGCCAUCCGCCGCGGUAAUACGGUGGAUCCGAGCGUUAUCUGGAUUUAUUGGGUUUAAAGGGAGCGUAGGUGUGUUGUUAAGUCAGUUGUGAAAGUUUGAGGCGCAACCGUAAAAUUGCAGUUGAAACUAGCAGUCUAGAGUACAGUAGAGGUAGGCGGAAUUCGUGGUGUAGCGGUGAAAUGCUUAGAUAUCACGAAGAACUCCGAUUGCGAAGGCAGCUCACUGGACUGCAACUGACACUGAGGCUCGAAAGUGUGGGUAUCAAACAGGAUUAGAUACCCGGGUAGUC
RNAcentral lists this ribosomal RNA (460 nucleotides) under uncultured bacterium. Its description in RNAcentral is "partial 16S ribosomal RNA". It matches the Rfam family "Bacterial small subunit ribosomal RNA", at positions 338 to 795 of the family's 1533-position model. The record is from RNAcentral.